Molecule: ribosomal RNA, 244 nt
Filed under: Aeromonas salmonicida subsp. salmonicida
Lineage: Bacteria; Pseudomonadati; Pseudomonadota; Gammaproteobacteria; Aeromonadales; Aeromonadaceae
Description: partial 16S ribosomal RNA
Rfam family: Bacterial small subunit ribosomal RNA
Source: RNAcentral
AAAUUGAAGAGUUUGAUCAUGGCUCAGAUUGAACGCUGGCGGCAGGCCUAACACAUGCAAGUCGAGCGGCAGCGGGAAAGUAGCUUGCUACUUUUGCCGGCGAGCGGCGGACGGGUGAGUAAUGCCUGGGGAUCUGCCCAGUCGAGGGGGAUAACAGUUGGAAACGACUGCUAAUACCGCAUACGCCCUACGGGGGAAAGGAGGGGACCUUCGGGCCUUUCGCGAUUGGAUGAACCCAGGUGGG